ACACCGCGUAUAUCCGGUUUAUGAUAUACACUCCCCUGUUGGACUGGCCCGGGCUAAGCCCCGGGUCUUUUUU
RNAcentral lists this non-coding RNA (73 nucleotides) under Rhodobacteraceae bacterium HTCC2083. RNAcentral's name for it is "Singlet oxygen resistance RNA X". It matches the Rfam family "Singlet oxygen resistance RNA X". From Rfam's summary of the family: SorX (RSs2461)like SorY is a singlet oxygen induced sRNA that counteracts oxidative stress by targeting mRNA for a transporter in Rhodobacter. The record is from Rfam by way of RNAcentral. Lineage: Bacteria; Pseudomonadati; Pseudomonadota; Alphaproteobacteria; Rhodobacterales; Paracoccaceae.